UACGAAGGGGGCUAGCGUUGUUCGGAAUUACUGGGCGUAAAGCGUACGUAGGCGGCUUUGUAAGUUAGAGGUGAAAGCCCGGGGCUCAACUCCGGAAUUGCCUUUAAGACUGCAUCGCUUGAAUCAUGGAGAGGUGAGUGGAAUUCCGAGUGUAGAGGUGAAAUUCGUAGAUAUUCGGAAGAACACCAGUGGCGAAGGCGGCUCACCUGGAGCUGGUAUUGACGCUGAGGUGCGAAAGCGUGGGGAGCAAACAGG
RNAcentral lists this ribosomal RNA (255 nucleotides) under uncultured bacterium. RNAcentral's name for it is "partial 16S ribosomal RNA". It matches the Rfam family "Bacterial small subunit ribosomal RNA", at positions 524 to 776 of the family's 1533-position model. The record is from RNAcentral.